This 63-nucleotide transfer RNA is filed under the name Lasioderma serricorne (cigarette beetle). RNAcentral describes it as "tRNA-Phe". The record is from RNAcentral. Lineage: Eukaryota; Metazoa; Arthropoda; Insecta; Coleoptera; Ptinidae.
AUUUAUAUAGCUUAUAUAAGAGCAUAAUAUUGAAGAUAUUAAGGAAACAUUAGUUUAUAAAUA